AUUUUUACCAAAGCAGCGUUUUGCUGUGUCGGAUAGAUUGUAUCUGGCCGCCAGAAGCUCUAGCUCUAUGGGUUCCUGAAGAUCUAGUUCUACACUUUUUCAGUAUUCCUCCUGACUGUGGCCUUUUCUGA
Molecule: long non-coding RNA, 131 nt
Filed under: Athene cunicularia (burrowing owl)
Lineage: Eukaryota; Metazoa; Chordata; Aves; Strigiformes; Strigidae
Description: lncRNA (ENSACUG00000005780.1)
Source: RNAcentral